This 438-nucleotide long non-coding RNA is filed under the name Homo sapiens (human). RNAcentral describes it as "non-protein coding lnc-KRTAP19-8-1:2". Lineage: Eukaryota; Metazoa; Chordata; Mammalia; Primates; Hominidae. The record is from RNAcentral.
GCUAUCAGACUUUGCUGGUAAUAGGCAGGUUAAUCUAUUAUGCUGAGAAACUGUCUCUGGGGUCACAGCUUCCUGGCAUGGAGAACCUAACCGGGAUUAGAUGUGUUCAGGAAAGCACUUCAACUGGUAACUGGCACGUGGUAAGUACCAUGUAAGUGCUAGCACCUAUUAUUUCUGACACCUGCAAUUAGUAGGAUAUAGAUCAUGAAAUAAAAUAAUUUGGUUAGAAUAGAAAGCUUUCGAGGUUUUCUUCUAGUCCUAGGAGUCAUUUAAUUAUUCUCUUUUUCUGAUUAGUUUUUCCCAUCACAUUUUAAUAUUUAUGAAAUUGAGAAGCACCUUACUAUUGAUCGAAUGUUUAAAAUUUUGGUGAAUUGUUAUUUCCUCCCAUUUUUUGUUGUGUCUCACAAUUGAUGGUAUCUUCAAAUUGAGUAAAUCUAG